AUGUAGUAAUAGAAGCUAUUCAAAAUGAAACAUAGAGACAAAAACAAAUUUAAAAAAUUUGUUUAAAAAAGCCGAGAGCUGCAGUACAACUUCAGGUGGCCUAAUAUAGGCAUAGUGGGAUUACUCGAGUACAAGAAAAUAAGUGAGGUGUAUAGAACAAUAACUGAAUAGAUAAUGGCCAAAAUUUCUUCAAAUUUGAAAACUGAAUCCACAAGCACAAGAAAAAUGAAGAAGCAACAUCGAUUCAGAAUAAUCACAUUUUUCAAAACCAGUGAAAAAGAAAAUCUAAAGAGCAGUUCAGGAAAAAAAAAAACCACAUAUGUACAGAGGAAAAGAUAUGAAUCAGAAAUAAUAUAGUGAGCAAGAUCUUUAAAAUACUGAAAGAUAAAAUUCUAUAAACUGAGAUUUCUAUAUGUAGAAAAAUAGCUUUCGAAAAAUAAUAAAACGGAUUUCAUCAAAAUUAAAAGCUAUUAUUCUUCAAAAGAUACCAUAAAAAGAAGGAAAAAUAAAAAGUAUGAGAAGAUAUUUGCAAACAUAGGUCUGAUAGAGGAUUUCCACUCAAAAUAUUUAUAGAAGGUUCAAAACUCAAUAAUAUGAAAUCAAACAACCUAACAAAAAACAUAUGAUACAAUGUCCAACAUAAUUAGUCAUUACAGAAAUGCAAACUAAAACCAUAAUGAGAUAUCACCACAUAUCUGGUGGAAUGUAUACAAUUAAAAAUACCAACCAUACAAAGAGUUGAUGAUGUGGAGGAAUUGGAACUCUGAUACAUUGGCAAAGGGGAUAUAAAAUUGGACAGUCACUUUGAAAAUUUCUUUAAAAAGUUAAGUGCACGCUCACCACAAAAUCCAGCCAUUCCAUUCCAAUGUACUGAUCAAGGGAAAAGAAAACUUACAUUCAUACAAAGACUUAUACACAGAUGCUCAUAACAGUUUUAUUUGUAUUGGUUAGAAACAGGAAAUAGCCUAACAACAAUAGAUGGAUGAAUAAUCAAACUGUGGUAUAGCCAUACAAUGGAAGGCUACUCAGCAAUAAAAAGAAGCAAGUCAUUGACACAUGCAGCAAUUUGGAUAAAUCUUCAAAUAGUUAUGCUUAGUGAAAGAAGCCAGAUCCCCCCUCCCAAAAAAAAGUGAGCACACUGAUUCUAUUCAUACAGAACUCAAGAAAAUGUGAUUAAUCUCUAGUGACAGAUGGCAGAUAUGUCGGGGGGAUGACAAAGAUACUUGAGGAAACUUUUUGUGGUAAUGGAUAUGCUCACUGUCUUGACUGUAGUGAUGGUUUCAUGGGGGUAGUUCUUUGUUAAAACCUAUAAAACUGAAAAUUUAAAUAUAUGUUAUUUAUUAUAUGUGAAUUAUACAUCAAUAAAACUGUUAAAAGAAAAAAAAGCAACUCUCUGUUGUUCUUUCCCCUCUCUACAAUAUUCAACAAAAGCAUCACAAUUCUACAGAAUAUCUAAAGGGUUCAAAGCACUAACACUGGAUGACCGUGUGACCUGGCUAUCUGCAGUGUGGCAUGCAGUACUGUGUGAUUUGGAUUUCAUGGCUCUGCACGAACAGGCUGACAGAAAUGUACUUCCUUGUGGUCAGCCCUAACGUCGCUCUCCGUAUGUGCCUGUAUUUCUAUAUAAUUCACAGCAUGAUAGCGAGUCCAUCUGAUACUAACCAUUGUGCUGAAGAUUGUUAUGGAUCUCACACUCUUGGUGAAAUAAAAAAUACAACGUGAGCCUCUUCAGAAGCAUGAAAAGCAGCCCCAAACUUGUGCUUAGGCUGCUUUUGUAUGCACAUGUACUUAGAGAAGGUCAAACAUAAACAAAAUGCAGGUCCAACUGCUUUUGAAGAUGUCAGUUCUGACUUGGAAUUCAGCAAAAAACUAACAAUUUCAUCUCACCUAAUUAGCCUGUCAUAUUAACUACAAUUUCCUCUUGGUAGUUUUUACAUUUCUCUAAUUGAUCUAUGUACUUUAGAAAAAAUACUUUUAGAAAAGAUCUGAUGUACUUUAGAAAAAUGACUCUGUUCAAAUGAUAUACUACUUAUUUUUAUUUAAUAUGUACAUUGGGCAUCAUUUACAGAAUUUGGCCAUGGGGGCACUGGCUGGGAACUCUAUUAUAGCACUGUUUCUAUGGGAAAAGCAGAAUAAAUUUUCAAGAUUUCAACUUAAUGUGCUUUUUCCAAGCAUGUUCUUUGCUAUGAACACAGAGUCUGCUUAUGCUCUAAAGUACAAACCAUUAUUAUUCAGAAUAACUUUACCUAUGGAGUCAAAUCCUCGACUGGAGAUAAUAAUACCAGUUUAGAAACAAAGUUUUCUGUGUUCCAAAAGGCAACAUGGGAGCACCUUCAUUCUCAAAUUACAAAUGAAAGACGUUUGUAACACAAAUACAGAAACAAAAGAUCAAACAUAGUAAAGAUUACUAAGAUUACUAAGAAGUAGCGGGAUGCUACUUCUUAGUAAUGAGAUCAUCAUAGAAGACACUUCUUAGUAAUGAGAUCAUCAUAGAAGACACUUAGAAUUUGCUUCUAACUGAUGUUUCUGAUUCCAAACUAAUAUAAGAAAUUGACGAAGUUCAAUCUGCUUUGCAGGCUGCGAACAUCACCGCUGGAAGAAGAGCAGCAGCAUGUAUUGGAAGGGCAGGAAAAGAAGAAACUGCUUUUAAACCUUAAGUUGAAUUCUAACUCUGUUCUUUCUGACUGGUAAAAAUAAAUUUUGUAGGCAC
Molecule: long non-coding RNA, 2710 nt
Filed under: Sus scrofa (pig)
Lineage: Eukaryota; Metazoa; Chordata; Mammalia; Artiodactyla; Suidae
Description: lncRNA (ENSSSCG00105036088.1)
Source: RNAcentral